CUGUAUUUAGGAUAGUGCUAGAUCGUUAAUCGAAGUACGCCCGUAACAAUGACUAGUGAUAGCUACAGCAGCAGUCUAUAGUAGAUGUUAAGAAUGCUAUAUAGAGUUUACUAGAGUGGCCACUGAGACCUUGAAUUACACAUUUAUUUUGGUUUGGUUUGAUCCCAGUCCAUUUCUUGGUGUGAUUUCCAGUGGGACCAGAAUCAGAAUAAGAGUGCAAAGUGACUAUAAUUAUUAAAACAUGAGUGAAAUGGAAUGUAAUGCACUCAUUUAUUAUUUCCUUUGUAUUCCCUUUGUUUAUUCUUACCUCUUUCCAUUAUAUUCUCGCUACCACUAUUUCUAUAUGUUUAUAAAUAUGUACGCAU
RNAcentral lists this small RNA (365 nucleotides) under Histoplasma ohiense. Its description in RNAcentral is "hypothetical lncRNA". Lineage: Eukaryota; Fungi; Ascomycota; Eurotiomycetes; Onygenales; Ajellomycetaceae. The record is from RNAcentral.